GUCGUGAGAUGUUGGGUUAAGUCCCGCAACGAGCGCAACCCCUACUGUGUGUUGUAUCACUCACACGGGACUGCCGAGAGAAACUCGGAGGAAGGUGGGGAUGACGUCAAGUCAGCAUGGCCCUUACGUCCUGGGCUACACCCACGCUACAAUGGCCGGUACAACGGGAGGCGAAACCGCGAGGUGGAGCGAAUCCCUUAAAGCCGGUCUCAGUUCGGAUUGUAGGCUGCAACUCGCCUACAUGAAGCCGGAGUUGCUAGUAACCGCCGGUCAGCAUACGGCGGUGAAUAUGUUCCCGGGCCUUGUACACACCGCCCGUCACGUCAUGAAAGCUGGUAACACCCGAAGCCGGUGGGCCAACCGCAAGGAGGCAGCCGUCGAAGGUGGGAUCGGUGAUUGGGGACGAAGUCGUAACAAGGUAGCCGUACCGGAAGGUGCGGCUGGAUCACCUCCUUUCUAGGGAGAUCCGAGUCUCGAGCUUUUGGUGGGCUCGAGGCGUUGAUGGCUCCUAGGGUUGAUCGCCCGGUCGUUCGAGCUUCCCCGCCAGGUGGAGCUCGCUGAACCAUUCCGCAAGGAGUGCGACAGAGACCGAUCAGCGACCUGGAAAGAACACCGAAAUCGUUCGGACAUCUGCGAACACUGGUUCCUGUCACUCUUCAAGGGUCAAGGUGCAAGCCGCCGGCGGCGACGAAACGUCGUCAAGGACGGAUCGCCACCCGCCCCCGGCGGGCGUUUAGCUCAGCUGGUUAGAGCACUGCCCUGAUAAGGCAGAGGUCUCUGGUUCGAGUCCAGAAACGCCCACCAUCACUUGCCCAUCGCUCGGGGACGUAGCUCAGUUGGUAGAGCGUCUCCUUUGCAAGGAGAGGGUCAGGAGUUCGAGUCUCCUCGUCUCCACCAUCCGCCGCCAACGCCAACACGAAGAUCUCGGGACCAACCCGAGGACAACCAAGACUUCAGGCCCGCCUGUGCGGGCCAUCAUCGAACCCCUGAUCCGUGUCCUUCCGACGCUUCGGCAGGCCACCGACCAGCGGACCGCUGGACGACGUCGAGACCUUCGGGUCGAGCCGUCGGGAGGUCCCACCUCGGUGGGGCCGCACCUUAACAACUGGAUAGUGUUCGGCAGAAAUGAAGAAUCUUCGAUUUCGCCGAGUAGUCAAGGAAAUGAUCCCGAUCGAUCCCAACCGGUGACUGACCACCUGGUCAGAGGCUGGAGGGGGUCAAGCUACGAAGGGCACGGGGUGGAUGCCUUGGCGCCAAGAGCCGAUGAAGGACGUGGCAGGCUGCGAAAAGCUUCGGGGAGUCGCGAGCAGACAGUGAUCCGGAGAUGU
Molecule: small RNA, 1328 nt
Filed under: uncultured bacterium
Lineage: Bacteria
Description: bacterial SSU rRNA
Rfam family: Bacterial small subunit ribosomal RNA (bases 1-456)
Source: RNAcentral